UUCUAAUUGCUUCACAAUUAGUAAAACCUGCACAAUGAAAAAUUAAAUAGCCGCAAUUUUGUGCUAAGGUAGCAUAAUAACUUGCCUGCUAAUUACAGGAUAGCAUGAAAGGUUCAACACGAAAUCUUCUUUGUUAUUUCUACUUAUCUAAAUUCUUAUAAAAGUAAAAAAACUUUUAUUAUAAAGAGGGACAACAAGACCCUGUUGAGCUUAACUUUAAGUUUAACUGGGGUGGUAUAAAACACAAUCUUUUCUUUCCUUACAUUAAUAACCUAAAUUUAGAAAAACAAGCUACCACAGGGAUAACAGCACAAUUUCUUUUAAGAGACCUUAUCUAAAAAGAAGAUUAUGACCUCGAUGUUGAAUUAAAAUUCCCCUUAAAGAAAAAUUUAAGAAAGAAAGUCUGUUCGACUUUUAAUUAUUUACGUGAUCUGAGUUCA
Molecule: ribosomal RNA, 440 nt
Filed under: Theraphosidae sp. BOLD:ACO0913
Lineage: Eukaryota; Metazoa; Arthropoda; Arachnida; Araneae; Theraphosidae
Description: partial 16S ribosomal RNA
Rfam family: Bacterial large subunit ribosomal RNA
Source: RNAcentral